ACCAAGCGACCAUAUUAUAUGAGCACAGAGAGCACUGAUGAUCAUUCAACAACAACAAUCCAAAUUAUUCAACACUAUAAUUAAUGGGGCAAUCUUGUAUCAUUACAUAAUGUCUUAUCUCAAAAGUAAUUCAAAGGCAAACAAAACGCAUUCAACUCUCCUACAUACUUAGAAACGAUGUGCUGAAAUCGUUGAAGAUGCCCCAUUAUCGGAAAGAGGCACAGAGCAUGAAAACCUUAGCAAUAAAGUUACUCCUGCAUCAAGUAACACUCAAUAAGCACCCAAGUUUGUAUUCCUUUAGGCACUUGAGACCUAUAGCGUUACAGACAAUCCUACAACGGGCAAAACUUCAUGCUUCAAAUAUUUCCUCCUAAAAAAACUUUAAGCUGUAUCAAUUCAUCAAGCUUGUAACUUAAACAAUUGUAUUUAGACAAAUUUUCAAAAAAAAAAAAAAAAUCAGUCAUAUAGCCUUUUGAAAAUAAUUACAGAAGCUUUAGAUUUCAGAUUUUGAGGUGAUGAACAACACCCUUGUUGGGGGGGGGGGGGUCACAAUUGAUGACACUGGUUUCCCUGGCCUAUGGAAUCCAAUCCAACUUGUUUAAAUGAUAAAAGAAAGGUUAUAUCCAAAUUGAUUAAUAAUUCCUAUGAGAUCAGAAUCAGAUCCAUUUCUGACAAUAAUUAAAAGGUGUGGAGGAAUUAUCAAAAAAUACUAGUAGUAAUUAAUAGCCGAAACGCAAGUAGUCGUAUAAGCAAUCCCAUAGAACCACCCCCCCCCCCCAAAAAAAAAAAAAACAAACAAACAAAGAGUGUAAACACGAACCAGGAGAAAAGCGAAUGGAGUAAAAAGAGAAGCAAAAGAGAAUUUUAUUUGGGGGAUUUGUCCUUGUUGGGAGGAGAGUAAAUGAGAGCAGCAACCAUGGAGACCGGUAGCAACACGUACUUGGCUAAAGCUGCCAGCUUCGUCACCAAAGGCUCUCCCCUCGUCAACGCCAUUUUUGUUCUUCUUUUCCACCAAUUCUACUACCCUACCUCUACUAUGUAUCCCGAAUUCCCAAUUACCAGCCCAGCCUCCUCCGUCUAAAAGUAAAAUAAAUUCCGAAUUUCACACUCCGUUUGCUGCGGCUUUGUAAAGUAAAAUAGAG
Molecule: long non-coding RNA, 1142 nt
Filed under: Durio zibethinus
Lineage: Eukaryota; Viridiplantae; Streptophyta; Magnoliopsida; Malvales; Malvaceae
Description: long non-coding RNA (DZIB_LNC000001)
Source: RNAcentral